AAGCUUAGCUUUAUACUUAGGACUAUCAACAUAAUAUCAAUGAUAAGUAUAGAAGGUGAGACAUUUCAGCGUGUGCACUCUUGUUGGUUAUUAUCUUGAAUACUAUUAUAGAUAGAGAUAAACUGUAAACAGCAAUAAUGUUCAGCAAAGUAAGAUCUACAAAUAAGUGAACAUGAUCAAAAUUGUUAGAGGACCCCUUAAGGAGUUAUUGCGCUUUAUAGUCAAUAUUGAACAACUUUUCAUCAUUUUUGUAACUUUGUGUACAAAAAUCUUCUUUUCUAAAACUAUGGGCCAAAUUUAACCAAACUUGGCCACAAUCAUUACUAGGGUAUCUAUGUGCCGUAUUCCAAGCUGGCUAUUCAAAACAAAUAUAU
Molecule: long non-coding RNA, 374 nt
Filed under: Mytilus galloprovincialis (Mediterranean mussel)
Lineage: Eukaryota; Metazoa; Mollusca; Bivalvia; Mytilida; Mytilidae
Source: RNAcentral